Molecule: transfer RNA, 72 nt
Filed under: Dopasia harti (Hart's glass lizard)
Lineage: Eukaryota; Metazoa; Chordata; Lepidosauria; Squamata; Anguidae
Also listed under: 1 other name
Description: tRNA-Ser
Rfam family: tRNA
About the family: Transfer RNA (tRNA) molecules are approximately 80 nucleotides in length.
Source: RNAcentral
GAGAAAGAAGCAUAGAAGGAGAUGCGACUGGCUUGAAACCAGUCUAAGGCGGUUCGAUUCCCCCCUUUCUUA